GAAUUUAAGCAUAUAAUUAAGCGGAGGAAAAGAAACUAACCAGGAUUCCCCUAGUAAGGGCGACUGAAGCGGGAAGUGCUCAAGAUGUGAAUCUGCGCCUUGUGCGCCGAAUUGUGGUCUGUAGACUGUGACAUUAUCUGCCGGGCCAAGUCCCUUGGAAAAGGGCAGCAGAGAGGGUGAGACUCCCGUCCGCCUGGCAGAGCGAGUCGCUAGUCAACGAGUCGAGUUGUUUGGGAUUGCAGCUCUAAGUGGGUGGUAAAUUCCAUCUAAAGCUAAAUAUUGGUGGGAGACCGAUAGCGUACAAGUACCGUGAGGGAAAGAUGCAAAGAACUUUGAAAAGAGAGUUAAAGAGUACCUGAAAUUGCUGAAAGGGAAGCGAAGGAAACCAGUGUUGGGYGUGUCAUACUUCCCUGUCUGCUUGCAGAUUGGGCGCUGUGUCACGCCUUUGGGUUGUUCUUGGUUGGGCUCGGUGGAAGAGCGCUGAGGGAGUUGACCUCGGUUGCUGGCACUGACCCUGACUGAGGAGGACGAAAUGGUUUUCUUUACCCCGUCUUGAAACACGGACCAAGGAGUCUAACAUAUGUGCGAGUAUAGGGGUGUCAAACCCCCAUGCGCAAUGAAAGUGACAGUGGUUGGACCUUUUUGGGCACAAUCCGCCGGCCUCAAUCCCUCGGGAGAACGGUCUGAGUGUGAGCAUACAUGUUGGGACCCGAAAGAUGGUGAACUAUGCCUGAAUAGGGUGAAGCCAGGGGAAACUCUGGUGGAGGCUCGUAGCGGUUCUGACGUGCAAAUCGAUCGUCAAAUUUGGG
Molecule: ribosomal RNA, 809 nt
Filed under: Cylindrotheca fusiformis
Lineage: Eukaryota; Bacillariophyta; Bacillariophyceae; Bacillariales; Bacillariaceae
Description: LSU rRNA
Rfam family: Eukaryotic large subunit ribosomal RNA
Source: RNAcentral